RNAcentral lists this small RNA (118 nucleotides) under Arabidopsis thaliana (thale cress). RNAcentral's name for it is "ATSL271260". The record is from RNAcentral. Lineage: Eukaryota; Viridiplantae; Streptophyta; Magnoliopsida; Brassicales; Brassicaceae.
CUUUUAUGACUCAAUAACUUUUAGAUUAUGAGAACUUGGCAUGUGAUACCUUUUCGGAAAGCCCAGAGAGAGCCCUCCGACGAAACAGGAAGGACAAUGAAAUUUUUCCAUUUUUUUU